CCUACGGGUGGCUGCAGUGAGGAAUAUUGGUCAAUGGGCGCGAGCCUGAACCAGCCAAGUAGCGUGAAGGAUGACUGCCCUACGGGUUGUAAACUUCUUUUAUAAAGGAAUAAAGUGAGGCACGUGUGCCUUUUUGUAUGUACUUUAUGAAUAAGGAUCGGCUAACGCCGUGCCAGCAGCCGCGGUAAUACGGAGGGUCCGGGCGUUAUCCGGAUUUAGUGGGGUUAAAGGGAGCGUAGAGGGGUUGUUAAGUCAGUUGUGACAGUUUGCGGCUCAACCGGAAAAUUGCAAUUGUUACUGGCAGUCUUGAGUACAGUUGUGGUAGGCGGAUUUCGUGGUGUAGCGGUGAAAUGCUUCGAUCUCACGAAGAACUCCGAUUGCGAAGGCAGCUUACUAAACUGCCACUGACAUUGAUGCUCGACAGUGUGUGUAUCAAACAGGAUUAGAUACCCUUGUAGUC
Molecule: ribosomal RNA, 460 nt
Filed under: uncultured bacterium
Lineage: Bacteria
Description: partial 16S ribosomal RNA
Rfam family: Bacterial small subunit ribosomal RNA
Source: RNAcentral